This is a non-coding RNA of Spinacia oleracea (spinach), 88 nucleotides long. NCBI's taxonomy places the organism in Eukaryota, Viridiplantae, Streptophyta, Magnoliopsida, Caryophyllales, Amaranthaceae. The record is from Rfam.
AAGCUAUGAUGAUAUAUGCGCUUCUUGUGGCAGUUGGGUCCGCCACGUAAUGUCUGAUCUUCGGACGAAACAAAGCGUAUCUGAGCAU